RNAcentral lists this ribosomal RNA (248 nucleotides) under uncultured Brevibacterium sp. RNAcentral's name for it is "partial 16S ribosomal RNA". It matches the Rfam family "Bacterial small subunit ribosomal RNA", at positions 796 to 1041 of the family's 1533-position model. The record is from RNAcentral. Lineage: Bacteria; Bacillati; Actinomycetota; Actinomycetes; Micrococcales; Brevibacteriaceae.
CAUGCCGUAAACGUUGGGCACUAGGUGUGGGGGGCAUUCCACGUUCUCCGCGCCGUAGCUAACGCAUUAAGUGCCCCGCCUGGGGAGUACGGUCGCAAGGCUAAAACUCAAAGGAAUUGACGGGGGCCCGCACAAGCGGCGGAGCAUGCGGAUUAAUUCGAUGCAACGCGAAGAACCUUACCAAGGCUUGACAUACACCGGACACGCCUGGAAACAGGUGCUCCCUUUUGGGGCUGGUGUACAGGUGG